Molecule: ribosomal RNA, 862 nt
Filed under: uncultured archaeon
Lineage: Archaea
Description: bacterial SSU rRNA
Rfam family: Archaeal small subunit ribosomal RNA
Source: RNAcentral
CCGGUUGAUCCUGCCGGCGGCCACCGCUAUUGGAAUUCGAUUAAGACAUGCGAGUCGAGAGACAUUUGGUCUCGGCGGACCGCUCAGUAACACGCGGAUAACAUGCCCUUGGGUGGGGGAUAACCUCGGGAAACUGAGAAUAAUACCCCAUAGACCUCGAAAGCUGGAAUGCUUCAAGGUCGAAAACUCCGGUGCCCAAGGAUUGGUCUGCGGCGUAUCAGGUCGUAGUGGGUGUAACGUACCCCCUAGCCUAUGACGCGUAAGGGCCUUGAGAGAGGGAGCCCUGAGAUGGACUCUGAGACAUGAGUCCAGGCCCUACGGGGCGCAGCAGUCGCGAAAACUUCACAAUGGGGGAAACCCCGAUGAGGGAAUUCCAAGUGCCAGCACAUUGUGUUGGCUGUUCUUUGGUCUAAAAAACCGGAGAAGUAAGGGCCGGGUAAGACGGGUGCCAGCCGCCGCGGUAAUACCCGCGGCCCGAGUGGUGGUCGAUAUUAUUGAGCCUAAAACGUCCGUAGCCGGUCUUGUAAAUCCUUGGGUAAAUCGACCAGCUUAACUGUUCGAAGUCCGGGGAGACUGCAAGACUUGGGAUCGGGAGAGGUCAGAGGUACUUCUGGGGUAGGGGUAAAAUCCUGUAAUCCUAGAAGGACCACCGGUGGCGAAGGCGUCUGACUAGAACGAAUCCGACGGUGAGGGACGAAGCCCUGGGGCGCAAACGGGAUUAGAUACCCCGGUAGUCCAGGGUGUAAACGCUGCGGGCUUGGUGUUGGGGGUCCUUUGAGGGCGCCCAGCGCCGGAGAGAAGUUGUUAAGCCUGCUGCUUGGGGAGUACGUCCGCAAGGAUGAAACUUAAAGGAAUUGGCGGG